GUUAUUAUAGUUUAUAAAAAUAUUGUUUUGUGGGGACAAAGAUGCCCAGGUUAGUAACA
RNAcentral lists this transfer RNA (59 nucleotides) under Stygobromus foliatus. Its description in RNAcentral is "tRNA-His". Lineage: Eukaryota; Metazoa; Arthropoda; Malacostraca; Amphipoda; Crangonyctidae. The record is from RNAcentral.